UAAAGCAAAUCCCUCCUCCUUCUCCCCACAUGAGUCCAGGGGAGUUGGCAGAGGAAAACCAUUGAAAGAUUUGGGCACCACCUUUCUCCAAUCCCCCAUCUAUGCCACUGUUCCAAUUAAAAGACUGUUCUCAUCCUGUCCGCUUGCUGGUAAAACCCCCACAUUUACAGUAGGUGACCACUGGCCUACACACCCCAUUUCUCCCCUAACACCAGCUUAUAUAUUAUCCCUCACCAUUACUCAUUCUGGAUGGAGGCAUUCUCCACAGGCUGGUAUAUCUGUUAUAUCAACACAUAGGAUCACAACCAAUGCACACACACACACACACACACACAACAAAUCUUACCUUUGUUAAAAGAUUGCAGGGGAUCAGUUCGCCAUGUGGGGAAGCAGGGCAAAGCUCCCCAUCUGUAUAUUUGGACUCCUUUUGAGUGAUGGUUCUUCCUGUCUGCUUUAAGUCCCAUCCCUGAGAACACUAAAGUGCUCUUCAACUGGUACUGUUCAAUAGAUUUAAUAAAAGGCCAUGGUCGUCAACUAUCACCAGUUCUCGACAAUGUAGGAUGGUAUCUAUUGCCUCGAGAUUUAUUUCUUUUUUGUAUAUGUGUAUAGUUUGAGAUUCUCCUUUGAAGGUAUGGUUUUGAGCUAUGCAACAUGUUGCUGAAGCAAAUGAUACUGAGGUUUUGCAUGUUAGAUGAGUUGCAGGUCACUGAACACAGCAGUAGGAUGCCUGAGGCUGGCAAUGUAGGUUGUGUAUGGCUUCUUGUCUGUUCAAGUUUUGACAAACAAUCGCGUGCUAGAUCUUUUCAUAGCAGUGAGAAUUUUCGGGUCACGCCAGUUGGGGUCUGUGAGCAGUAUUUGCAUUUCAGUUGAGCAAGUCAGGAGCAAAUUUGGCAGUAUGUUAGGCUAUUCUAAAUACAGUUAUUACUUGGGAGAGAGUGACACUGGAUCCAGUGUCGUCAUCUGAGGUUGGAGAAGUAUCUGGUGAUUUGUAUGCUUGUAGUUCAACUGGCAGUUAAAAGCAGCAGAACAUAGUGUGAGUGGUGUGAGAAUAUUUUUCAUGCACUGUGCGUAUUUCUUACACUUGAGCUUGUGAUGUUGUAGUAUUGUAUUUACUCCAAUCAUUGUUUCAGGUUCUAUGUUUUGGUUUUCUGCAUAAAGGCAAGCCCAUACCAAAUGUUGACAUCACUUGCAGCCAUAGUUGGAGGACUCAUUGGAGCUAUUGCAUUGUUGGUGAUUGUUGUUUGGUUUCUUUGGUUUUGUAUACUGCGGCGUAGAUUACCCUCAAAUAGAAAUUCUGAGACUGGUUCAUCGGACCCUCCAACUAUAG
RNAcentral lists this long non-coding RNA (1327 nucleotides) under Elaeis guineensis (African oil palm). RNAcentral describes it as "long non-coding RNA (EGUI_LNC072430)". Lineage: Eukaryota; Viridiplantae; Streptophyta; Magnoliopsida; Arecales; Arecaceae. The record is from RNAcentral.